Molecule: unclassified non-coding RNA, 98 nt
Filed under: Flavobacterium xinjiangense
Lineage: Bacteria; Pseudomonadati; Bacteroidota; Flavobacteriia; Flavobacteriales; Flavobacteriaceae
Description: Flavo-1 RNA
Source: RNAcentral
UUUUAAUACUGAUUGUCCCGGAGUUUCGGGAGGCGUCCUUUUGUUCCGUCCGAUGCUUCGGGACAGGACAAAAGAUACAGUGUACAGCAGGAAAUAGC